Molecule: ribosomal RNA, 490 nt
Filed under: uncultured bacterium
Lineage: Bacteria
Description: partial 16S ribosomal RNA
Rfam family: Bacterial small subunit ribosomal RNA
Source: RNAcentral
GUGAACGCUGGCGGUAGGCCUCACCCCUGCCAGUCGAACGGCAGCACAGUAAGAGCUUGCUCUUACGGGUGGCGAGUGGCGGACGGGUGAGGAAUACAUCGGAAUCUACUUUUUCGUGGGGGAUAACGUAGGGAAACUUACGCUAAUACCGCAUACGACCUACGGGUGAAAGCAGGGGAUCUUCGGACCUUGCGCGAUUGAAUGAGCCGAUGUCGGAUUAGCUAGUUGGCGGGGUAAAGGCCCACCAAGGCGACGAUCCGUAGCUGGUCUGAGAGGAUGAUCAGCCACACUGGAACUGAGACACGGUCCAGACUCCUACGGGAGGCAGCAGUGGGGAAUAUUGGACAAUGGGCGCAAGCCUGAUCCAGCCAUACCGCGGGGGUGAAGAAGGCCUUCGGGUUGUAAAGCCCUUUUGUUGGGAAAGAAAAGCAGCAGGUUAAUACCCCGCUGUUCUGACGGUACCAAAAGAAGAAGCACCGGCUAACUUCGU